This 269-nucleotide ribosomal RNA is filed under the name uncultured prokaryote. RNAcentral describes it as "partial 16S ribosomal RNA". It matches the Rfam family "Bacterial small subunit ribosomal RNA", at positions 524 to 792 of the family's 1533-position model. The record is from RNAcentral.
UACGUAGAGCCCGAGCGUUAUCCGGAUUUAUUGGGCGUAAAGAGUUCGUAGGCGGAUGGACAAGUCGAAUAUUAAAGACCCCGGCUUAACCGGGGGAAAGUGUUCGAAACUGUCUAUCUAGAGAAUGGUAGAGGCAGAUGGAAUUCUCGGUGUAGGGGUAAUAUCCGUAGAUAUCGAGAAGAACACCUAAGGCGAAGGCAAUCUGCUGGGCCAUUUCUGACGCUGAGGAACGAAAGCGUGGGGAGCGAACGGGAUUAGAUACCCCGGUA